AUAAUGAAUGAAGAAAGUUGACCUGCACACCACAAAUUACUACAAGCUCAUCAAUAUUUAUGAGAAGUCAGUUGCAUGUUUAGAAGCUAGAUUAGCUUUUACACGCUAAGCAAACACCAUCACACAACUUAAGAACUAAAUACAGUCAUCAGUAAUAGACCUAUCAGAAAAUGUACAAAUUAAAAUGUAUUGAUUUUCUCAUUUCGACUUGAAAGCCUAGUGCUUUUUACUAUUUAAUUACCAACCA
RNAcentral lists this unclassified non-coding RNA (247 nucleotides) under Hevea brasiliensis (rubber tree). Lineage: Eukaryota; Viridiplantae; Streptophyta; Magnoliopsida; Malpighiales; Euphorbiaceae. The record is from RNAcentral.